GCGGUAAUAGCUCAGUUGGUAGAGCGUUGGCUUCCCAAGCCAAAAGUCGCGAGUUCGAGUCUCGUUUACCGCU
Molecule: transfer RNA, 73 nt
Organism: Prevotella sp. S7 MS 2
Lineage: Bacteria; Pseudomonadati; Bacteroidota; Bacteroidia; Bacteroidales; Prevotellaceae
Rfam family: tRNA
About the family: Transfer RNA (tRNA) molecules are approximately 80 nucleotides in length.
Source: Rfam